GAAGGCCCAGGGAUUAUGACUCAAUACACCACACCCCAGCAGAGACUGCUAUCCCCCAUCACCUGCAACAGCCAGCAGGAGGCCAAGCCCCCUUUUCCCAGUGCCAGGAGGUCCUCCUAGCCACAGCCGUCACCAUAGACCCAGACCUCCUCUUUGAGAGAACUAGAGCUGAAUAUUUGCCUGAAUUAGCCAAGCAGAGAAAGAGUAACUAAAAUGGUAUUGAGAUCAUUGGAUUGGUUUAAGAUUGUGAUAUUGGACUACCUUUUUACUCUGGCUACUGCCCCAAAUGAUGAGAGUUCAUAAGAUGCAAUCUGUAACAGGAUAUAAUGGAGUAAGAUUCUAUUUAUACACCUGAGUACAGUGUGAGGGAAUUUACAACCCUGACAGGAAGGCAGCUGUACGGCUUUCAUGAGUUGUUUCAACAGAGGGAGAAGAAGCCAGGAGAGCCAAUUUCUGACGGCAAGUGUUGAAGAAGGUGGUGAAGAGGAGGAUUCUGUGAAUAAACUGCAUAUUUACUGGCCAAGGGCAAUGACUGCUUAACAACUUCUCCGAUU
This 554-nucleotide long non-coding RNA is filed under the name Homo sapiens (human). RNAcentral's name for it is "HSALNT0373058". Lineage: Eukaryota; Metazoa; Chordata; Mammalia; Primates; Hominidae. The record is from RNAcentral.